Molecule: small nuclear RNA, 104 nt
Organism: Sarcophilus harrisii (Tasmanian devil)
Lineage: Eukaryota; Metazoa; Chordata; Mammalia; Dasyuromorphia; Dasyuridae
Source: Ensembl
GUUGUUUCAGCAGCACAUAUAUUAAAAUUAGAACAAUGCAGAGAAGAUUAGCAUGGCACUUGUGCAAGGAUGACAUGCAAAUUCAUGAAGCAUUUCAUAUUUUU